Molecule: ribosomal RNA, 417 nt
Filed under: Hypotrachyna osseoalba
Lineage: Eukaryota; Fungi; Ascomycota; Lecanoromycetes; Lecanorales; Parmeliaceae
Description: eukaryotic LSU rRNA
Rfam family: Eukaryotic large subunit ribosomal RNA
Source: RNAcentral
AUUGACCUCGGAUCAGGUAGGGAUACCCGCUGAACUUAAGCAUAUCAAUAAGCGGAGGAAAAGAAACCAACAGGGAUUGCCUCAGUAACGGCGAGUGAAGCGGCAACAGCUCAGAGUUGAAAUCUGGCCCUUUCGGGGUCCGAGUUGUAAUCUGUAGAGAGUGUUUCGGGCGAGGCCACGGUCUAAGUUCGUUGGAACACGGCGUCAUAGAGGGUGAGAAUCCCGUAUGCGACCGUGGCUCGAGCCCAUGUGAAGCCUCUUCGACGAGUCGAGUUGUUUGGGAAUGCAGCUCAAAAUGGGUGGUAAAUUUCAUCUAAAGCUAAAUACGGGCUGGAGACCGAUAGCGCACAAGUAGAGUGAUCGAAAGAUGAAAAGCACUUUGGAAAGAGAGUGAAACAGUACGUGAAAUUGUUGAAA